Molecule: non-coding RNA, 26 nt
Filed under: Cricetulus griseus (Chinese hamster)
Lineage: Eukaryota; Metazoa; Chordata; Mammalia; Rodentia; Cricetidae
Source: RNAcentral
UUACAGUGAUGGCUGACCAGGACUCC